GUACUGUCUACAUAGUAAUGUCACGUCCAUUAUACUAUAUUACACAACACUCCUCCCCACUUUGAAAGGAGUGAGUUUACUUCCUAUUUGAAUUUUCACUAUAUUCCUUUAGUCCACCCCGUCUGGUUGCACCACGGGGAUAAAAAAAAAAUAAUCUCCAACUUUCUUGAAUAAUGCAUAUUCCAAUGUUGAUCGACAUAUUAACAACAC
Molecule: long non-coding RNA, 210 nt
Filed under: Mytilus galloprovincialis (Mediterranean mussel)
Lineage: Eukaryota; Metazoa; Mollusca; Bivalvia; Mytilida; Mytilidae
Source: RNAcentral